Molecule: long non-coding RNA, 4371 nt
Organism: Choloepus didactylus (southern two-toed sloth)
Lineage: Eukaryota; Metazoa; Chordata; Mammalia; Pilosa; Megalonychidae
Exons: 4
Source: RefSeq, a predicted model, not a curated record
GCCACAUGCCUUCCCAGCUAACAGAGGUUUUCCAGACACCAUUGGCCAUCCUCCAGUGAAGUCCACUGGGGAUCAGGCAUUAGAAAUUCUACAGUACCUCUUCUCCAACGACCUGGAUGUGCCCGUGGGCCACAUCGUGCACACCGGCAUGCUCAACGAGGGUGGAGGGUAUGAAAACGACUGCAGCAUAGCACGGCUGAGCAAGCGCAGUUUCUUCAUGAUUUCGCCCACUGACCAGCAGGUCCACUGUUGGUUCUGGCUUAAGAAACACAUGCCGGAAGACACCAACCUGCUUCUGGAGGACGUCACCUGGAAAUACACGGCCUUUCCUCUUCUACUGUAGAUGUCACCACUCAGGAAACUGAGUGACAGUUUGGAGCCUGGAUAUAUGCAGUACCUUCUCUAACUUCACUCGAAACUCUCGUCCACAUUCCAGGGGUGUUGUGAAGGUAUUUAAAUCUUGACCCCAGAAGGCAAAAAACUUCUCGAUUCGGAGGCUGCGAAGAGCAUAAUACCCAGCAUUCCGGAUUCCAUAUUUCUGCCCAACACUCAUCACUUCAUUGUACACAUGCAGGGCAUACUAUAGGGAGAGACGAAAGGUUAGUAACCACCAGACACUUCAGAAGGAAAUGGAAUGUACCCAGGAGUGCCUGACUGCCGACACUAAUAACCCAGAAAAGAGGAGGUUGUCUACAAUUCCUAGGAGGUCUCAUCCACCACAAACCAAGGAGCUUCAGUGUAGGAACAAUGAAUAAGGUCCGUGGAGGCAGGAGUCUCAUCUUUUGUCUUCUCUUAAAUGUCUGGGAUCUUAGUAUAUAGCAAGUAUUAAAUCAUUGCUCACAGGAAUGCUCAUCACUCAGUGAAUGACCGUUCUCAUGACUUUUAAAAUAACCCACUUGUGCUUCACAACCUGCUAGUUCCGGCUUGUUCUCUUGCCCCAGUUACUCAGCCCUGGUCCUUCCCUCAUGCUGGCCCAUGCUGUGAAGCACAAAUUUCUCGUAGCUGUAGAUGAGCAGGUGCAACAUCUGAUCUCGCACAUAGACAGUGGCACAGCUUAGAGACCCAGAUGAGUCCCUGAGGAGCCAGAAAGCAGAGCUCUCCUGCCACGGCCCAGUACCUCUAGCCUCUCCAGCUGUUCGGUUCCCAGUUCCAAAAUCUGAUAACCUAAGUGAACAUAAGAUGUUUCCAAUUUGAAAAAAAAUCACUUCCUAUCCAGACAUACUCUGAUAAAUGAUUACACUGGUUUAAAAACUACAAAAGUCAAAAAACGAAAGACACAAUAAAGCCAGCCUCACGGUACUGUAGUUCUUCACCCUGGCAAUGUAUGUUGCUAUAAAUUGCCCUCCUGCAUCUGAUAGACAUCCAUGGGACAAACCACUGUGACCAAGACACAACUUUAAAUGUGGAAGAAAGGAAUCCACACUGUUGAACACAAUACUCAACCUAUGCUAUGUGAAGAUGUGAGACACCUGAACUAAGGAAGAUGGCUACAGGAGCAAUAGCCUGGCAGAGACGUGAGAAUAAUAAAAAGCCAUAGUAUCUGUUGGUGGACUUGUUGCUUUUCUCUCUCAAACUGAAUACCUCUGUACUUUAGAGGAAGAGUAAGGAGAAAAAAAUUAAACCAGGCUAAACUAGCCUUGGGAUAGAUGAGAGGAGUAAAGUUCUCUCAAGAACUGGGUGUGAACAAAAACAAGAAUCUGCCAUCUGUCCCUAUGUUUUCAAAGAACUCUUCUCAAAGAAGCAUUAGUUUCUUGAAGACAAGAGCCAGCUUGAAAAUAACUCUGGCAUGACACAUAUUUCCUCUCUUGAACUUGUGGGACAUCCUAACAAAGAGACCAGCCCAGAAAAACCAGAAGCCUCCACAGAGGGCCUCCAAGUGAGGACGAAGCUGCUGCAGCCACAGUCUGCACCCGCUGAUGGGAAGUGACCAGGUACACAGGCACCCGGGUGGCAAACCUGUACAACGUGGGGUGCUUCAGAAUUGAUCCCAGGUACAGGCAAAUCACAUCCGCUACAUUUGUAUCAACCCUCCUCAAAUGUUGGAUAAUUCCUUAUCUUCACAUCGCUAUAAUAUUUGAGUAUGAAUAAGAUGAAAUUUCCAUGAACUGAUAAAUAUGUGCUUUAACAAAUAACACUAAAAGCAAUAUGAUUAAAAUCAAGAACAGUACACAGAUGCCCUACGAUCACUGCCACCUGUAACAAGUGGACAAGACAAAAUUAAGGAAUGAAAAAUUGUUAAGGAAGGAAAACUAUCAUUUGUAUAUGAUAAGAUCUGGAGAAUGAGCUAAAAACAAGACAAUUUAGUAAGGAAGCAGUGUGGAGAAUUAAUAUACAGAAAACUUUCAUCAGUCAUAACAAAGAUAAUGGAACGCAGACACCUAAUUCACAAUAGCAACACAAAAUUAAUUGAAUAAACUUAAGAAAUGUGUAUGGAAGAAACUUCAGUUUACUGCUGGAGGACACUAAAAGAAAGUGAACAAAAGCCAACACAUAAAAAUGUCAACUCUCCCUAAUUUAUGAGUGUGAUACAAUGCCAAAACUACCAACAGGGUGUUUUUUGCUCUGUGUGUUAAGCAGAUUAUAAAGUUCACAAGGAAAUACAAGCAGGCAUUUUUCUUCUUUUCCAGAGUCCUCCAAGCUAUGAGGAAACAUCAGCACUACCAAAAAUUAAAGACACGUUACAAAAACUCAAUAAUUAAAAUAGUGUGGUUCUGGAUCAUGAAAUCAUGAAUAGACAGACCAAGGUAAUGGAUAUAGGAAGUCCAGAAAUAGACCCAAAUACAAACAGGAAUUUAGUGUCUGAUAAAGGUAGAAUCUCAAAUCAGUUGAGAAAUGAACUUUUCAAUAAAUGUGGGAUUGGGACAACUGGGUAUCCAUUAAAAAAAUAUGUAACAGUUUUGAGCCAUACCUCAUAAUAUACUCCAAAACACACUGCAAAAGGAUCAAGGCUUUAAAUAUUUUUAAAAAGUCAAAACAAUAACAAAACCCAGAAAGUGAAGAUGAAAACUGGGAAGAUUAUUUAUAACUUUGGAACAGGGAAGUCCCUUCUAACUAUAAAUUAUAUUCAAGAAACUGUGACUGAGAACGAGCAAAAAUAAUUAUAAUUUACUGAACUAUCGGUAAGACUAGAAACUGGUUAACCUUCUGAUAGAUUGUAAUGUAGCCAAAAGUAAAUACUUCUUAACUGGUAACUCACCAAACUGUAACCCAGAUGCUUUGAUGCUUUACUUUGUAACUAUAUAGCCUCAUAACUCCUGAUCCUGCACUUAUCCCCUUACCUUGUUUUGUAACUUAGAAGUCUUGUGAUCUUGCUAACAGUCCCUUAAUGUUUAUUAAUGAAGAAAUGUGUGUCAACCCACCCCAAUUCCUACCUUAUUGCAAUAAAGCCAAUUCUACCAGAAUUGGCCCACCUGACAUGUGCAGUACCAAAAAACUUUAACCUAUAAUAACCCAUAUUUCCCUGUAAUACUAAAAAUCACUCCCAUCAUCAUGUUAAGGCUGUGAUUUUCUUACAUGCAUCCUGUGACGAAUAAAAUAGAAAAACGCACGCAACAAACUUUUAUUGAGCACUUACUAUAUCCUAAGCAUUUCUCUAGGUGCUGGGGAUAUAACAAUUAACAAAACAGGCAAAAAUCCUUUUGUGCUAUGGCUAAAAGUAAAACAGGAAGAGGUGACACCUGAAGGAGAUGAGGCCAUGAGCCUUCGGCGUCUCUAUUUGAGGGAAGGGUGUGCAAAAGACGGCCCAAGGCAGAGGCAUAUAGCAUGUUCAAAGAACAGCAAGGGAUGAGAGGCACAGAGGAGAGAGAUGACCAGAAGCCUCACUCAAAUGGGUAAGCAAACUGUAGGACCUGGCAGACUGGCUUUUACUUGGAUUGGGAUGGGUUUUUGAAAAAGUUGCUCAGCCUUGCUCAAAAUGGAAAUUAAAAAUGUACUAGGGCAGACGGUCCUAUUUUGCACCUAUGAGACCAGCAAACCUGCUAAUGUUUGACAACUCCAUAAGCUAUAAGGAAAAAGACAAUCUUGUACACUGCAGAAUUAUUUAUCUAUGAUAGCAAAGGACUGUAAACACCAUAAAUUGGAUAGUAUAAUAGCUUAUGAUUCAACCAUACAAUGCCACUGUUUAAAAGAAAGAGGAAGAACUUUCUCUUUAGAAAUGUGAUAAGAUCUCUAAGAUAAAUUAAGCCAAAAAAAUAAAAAAUAAAAAUAGAAGUAUGCUUCCAUUUGUGUUUUUUAGAAGAAAGGGUCCUAUAUACAGAAAAUCCUGAAAACUCCAAUAACAAAGUUCCUACAACUAAUAAAUGAAUUCAGGAAAGUGGUGCGGUACAGGAUCAACACCCCAAAAUCAGUAGAAAUCAGUAGUGUUUCUACACA